RNAcentral lists this ribosomal RNA (253 nucleotides) under uncultured bacterium. RNAcentral describes it as "partial 16S ribosomal RNA". It matches the Rfam family "Bacterial small subunit ribosomal RNA", at positions 524 to 776 of the family's 1533-position model. The record is from RNAcentral.
UACGUAGGGGGCAAGCGUUGUCCGGAUUCAUUGGGCGUAAAGAGCGUGUAGGCGGCCAGGUAGGUCGGUUGUGAAAACUGGAGGCUCAACCUUCAGAGGUCGACCGAAACCAUCUGACUAGAGUCCGGUAGGGGAGCGUGGAAUUCCUGGUGUAGCGGUGAAAUGCGCAGAUAUCAGGAGGAACACCAGCGGCGAAGGCGGCGCUCUGGGCCGGUACUGACACUGAGGAGCGAAAGCGUGGGUAGCAAACAGG